UUCAACGGCCGCGGUAUCCUAACCGUGCGAAGGUAGCGUAAUCACUUGUUCUUUAAAUGGGGACUAGUAUGAAUGGCAUCACGAGGGUUGAACUGUCUCCUUUCUCUAAUCAGUGAAACUAAUCUCCCCGUGAAGAAGCGGGAAUUAUUUUAUAAGACGAGAAGACCCUAUGGAGCUUAAAACAAAUUGACAUCUGCUUCCACCUACUUCAACUCCUGAGCAAAUAUACAAAAUAUAGCAUCAUUGAUCAAUAGUUUUAGAUUGGGGUGAUCAUGGAGUAAAAAAUAACCUCCACGACGAAAAGAAUAUCCUGAGCCAAAAGCCACAACUUUAAGCACUAAAAAAUUAACGCAUCUUGACCCAAUUUUUUGAGCAACGAACCAAGUUACCCUAGGGAUAACAGCGCAAUCCACUUCAAGAGCCCCUAUCGACAAGUGGGCUUACGACCUCGAUGUUGGAUCA
This 462-nucleotide ribosomal RNA is filed under the name Boana calcarata. RNAcentral's name for it is "partial large subunit ribosomal RNA". It matches the Rfam family "Bacterial large subunit ribosomal RNA", at positions 1923 to 2539 of the family's 2925-position model. The record is from RNAcentral. Lineage: Eukaryota; Metazoa; Chordata; Amphibia; Anura; Hylidae.